UACGGAGGGUGCAAGCGUUAAUCGGAAUUACUGGGCGUAAAGCGUGCGUAGGUGGCAAAUCAAGUUGGGUGUGAAAGCCCCGGGCUCAACCUGGGAAUUGCAUUCAAAACUGGUUAGCUAGAGUAUAGUAGAGGAUGGUAGAAUUUCCUGUGUAGCGGUGGAAUGCAUAGAUAUAGGAAGGAACAUCAGUGGCGAAGGCGGCCAUCUGGACUAAUACUGACACUGAGGUACGAAAGCGUGGGGAGCAAACAGG
Molecule: ribosomal RNA, 253 nt
Filed under: uncultured bacterium
Lineage: Bacteria
Description: partial 16S ribosomal RNA
Rfam family: Bacterial small subunit ribosomal RNA
Source: RNAcentral